GACGAACGCUGGCGGCGUGCUUUAGGCAUGCAAGUCGAACGCGAUAGCCCCUUCGGGGGUGAGUAGAGUGGCGAACGGGUGAGUAACACGUGGGUAACCUGCCCCUCGCAGGGGGAUAACCGGGGGAAACCCCGGCUAAUACCCCGUACGCUUGCUGGGGCGCAUGCUCCGGCAAGGAAAGGUAGCUUCGGCCAUCCGGCGAGGGAGGGGCCCGCGGCCCAUUAGCUAGUUGGUGGGGUAACGGCCCACCAAGGCGACGAUGGGUAGCUGGCCUGAGAGGGUGGUCAGCCACACUGGGACUGAGACACGGCCCAGACUCCUACGGGAGGCAGCAGCCAGGAAUCUUGCGCAAUGGGCGAAAGCCUGACGCAGCAACGCCGCGUGGGCGAUGAAGGCCUGCGGGUCGUAAAGCCCUGUUGUCGGGGACGAAGGGCGAAGGGUUAAUAGCCCCUAGCCUGACGGUACCCGACGAGGAAGCCCCGGCUAACUACGUG
This 494-nucleotide ribosomal RNA is filed under the name uncultured bacterium. RNAcentral describes it as "partial 16S ribosomal RNA". It matches the Rfam family "Bacterial small subunit ribosomal RNA", at positions 28 to 507 of the family's 1533-position model. The record is from RNAcentral.